GUGGGGAAUAUUGGACAAUGGGCGAAAGCCUGAUCCAGCCAUGCCGCGUGUGUGAAGAAGGUCUUCGGAUUGUAAAGCACUUUAAGUUGGGAGGAAGGGCAGUAAGUUAAUACCUUGCUGUUUUGACGUUACCGACAGAAUAAGCACCGGCUAACUUCGUGCCAGCAGCCGCGGUAAUACGAAGGGUGCAAGCGUUAAUCGGAAUUACUGGGCGUAAAGCGCGCGUAGGUGGUUUUGUAAGUUGGAGGUGAAAGCCCUGGGCUCAACCUGGGAACUGCCUCCAAAACUGCAUGACUAGAGUACGGUAGAGGGUAGUGGAAUUUCCUGUGUAGCGGUGAAAUGCGUAGAUAUAGGAAGGAACACCAGUGGCGAAGGCGACUACCUGGACUGAUACUGACACUGAGGUGCGAAAGCGUGGGGAGCAAACAGGAUUAGAAACCCCUGUAGUCC
Molecule: ribosomal RNA, 450 nt
Filed under: uncultured bacterium
Lineage: Bacteria
Description: bacterial SSU rRNA
Rfam family: Bacterial small subunit ribosomal RNA
Source: RNAcentral